Suncus etruscus (white-toothed pygmy shrew) is the source of this 105-nucleotide small nuclear RNA. The record is from RefSeq and is a predicted model, not a curated record. Lineage: Eukaryota; Metazoa; Chordata; Mammalia; Eulipotyphla; Soricidae.
GUGCUCGCUUCGGCAGCGCAUAUACUAAAAUUGAAACAAUAGAUUAGAGUAGCAUGGCCCCUACACAAGGAUAACAUGCAAAUUCGCAAAGUGUUCCAUGUUUUG